CAGUCGCCGCGGUAAUACGGAGGGUGCAAGCGUUAAUCGGAAUUACUGGGCGUAAAGCGUGCGUAGGCGGUUCGUUAAGUCUGUUGUGAAAGCCCCGGGCUCAACCUGGGAAUGGCAAUGGAUACUGGCGAGCUAGAGUGUGUCAGAGGAUGGUGGAAUUCCCGGUGUAGCGGUGAAAUGCGUAGAGAUCGGGAGGAACAUCAGUGGCGAAGGCGGCCAUCUGGGACAACACUGACGCUGAGGCACGAAAGCGUGGGGAGCAAACAGGAUUAGAUACCCGCGUAGUCCCUGUCUCUUAUAU
Molecule: ribosomal RNA, 301 nt
Filed under: uncultured bacterium
Lineage: Bacteria
Description: partial 16S ribosomal RNA
Rfam family: Bacterial small subunit ribosomal RNA
Source: RNAcentral